Molecule: ribosomal RNA, 492 nt
Filed under: uncultured bacterium
Lineage: Bacteria
Description: partial 16S ribosomal RNA
Rfam family: Bacterial small subunit ribosomal RNA
Source: RNAcentral
GAUGAACGCUAGCUACAGGCUUAACACAUGCAAGUCGAGGGGAAACGGCAUUAAGUGCUUGCACUUUUUGGACGUCGACCGGCGCACGGGUGAGUAACGCGUAUCCAACCUUCCCAUGACUAAGGGAUAACCUGCCGAAAGGCAGACUAAUACCUUAUGGUCUUCACUGACGGCAUCAGAUGUGAAGUAAAGAUUUAUCGGUUAUGGAUGGGGAUGCGUCUGAUUAGCUUGUUGGCGGGGUAACGGCCCACCAAGGCAACGAUCAGUAGGGGUUCUGAGAGGAAGGUCCCCCACAUUGGAACUGAGACACGGUCCAAACUCCUACGGGAGGAAGCAGUGAGGAAGAUUGGUCAAUGGGCGAGAGCCUGAACCAGCCAAGUAGCGUGCAGGAUGACGGCCCUAUGGGUUGUAAACUGCUUUUGUAUGGGGAUAAAGUCAAUCACGUGUGAUUGUUUGCAGGUACCAUACGAAUAAGGACCGGCUAAUUCCGUG